UUAAAUUGAAGAGUUUGAUCAUGGCUCAGAUUGAACGCUGGCGGCAGGCCUAACACAUGCAAGUCGAACGGUAACAGGAAGCAGCUUGCUGUUUCGCUGACGAGUGGCGGACGGGUGAGUAAUGUCUGGGAAACUGCCUGAUGGAGGGGGAUAACUACUGGAAACGGUAGCUAAUACCGCAUAACGUCGCAAGACCAAAGAGGGGGACCUUCGGGCCUCUUGCCAU
RNAcentral lists this ribosomal RNA (226 nucleotides) under Escherichia coli O103:H11 str. 2010C-3214. RNAcentral's name for it is "partial 16S ribosomal RNA". It matches the Rfam family "Bacterial small subunit ribosomal RNA", at positions 1 to 221 of the family's 1533-position model. Lineage: Bacteria; Pseudomonadati; Pseudomonadota; Gammaproteobacteria; Enterobacterales; Enterobacteriaceae. The record is from RNAcentral.